RNAcentral lists this long non-coding RNA (899 nucleotides) under Anser brachyrhynchus (Pink-footed goose). RNAcentral's name for it is "lncRNA (ENSABRG00000000063.1)". The record is from RNAcentral. Lineage: Eukaryota; Metazoa; Chordata; Aves; Anseriformes; Anatidae.
GCCCACGUUUUUCUCUGCGCUGCCCCUUGCAGAGCGGCCCGGAGCCCAGCGCCGCCCCGCGUAGGAAGGGCAAGAAGGGCAAGGGGAAAGGCAAGCGCAAGGGGAAAGGCAAGAAGAGGAGGAACAAGGAGCUGCAGGAGCAGCACGAGGCCUCCGAGCCCUCUGCCGUGGCCAACCAGGCCAGCGCGCCCACGCCGACGCCGCCGUCUCUGGAGGACGGCUCCCCGCCGCCGGUCACCUCCAGCCUGGCCACCACCGUGAGCGUCGCCCUGAACCGCACCGACCCCUUCGAGGUACCACCGAGGCUGGGAGCAGCAGCGGGCAGGGGGAUCCCCAACGUCUGUGCAUCCCCAGCGUCUCCCCCUGUCCCUCAGGACGCUGGCGAGGAGCUCGUGCUGGAAUCCGGGGAGGACGGAGCCGCUGGGGCUGCCAGCGCGGAGCUGCCAGGCUACGAGGACUACUACGACGGGGACCCUGCGAGCCCGGAGCGGUUCGGCCCGGCCGAGCGGGAGGAGACGGUGAUCCGGGCUCCCCAGGUAACGCUGGGGACGAGGACCGGGACCCCCUCCAGCCACGGCCGGACGAGCUGGGGCCACGGUAUGGGGUCCGGGGGCCGUGCAGGCGGUUCGGAGCUCUGCCCCGAGCUCGCGGCCGCGUCCCCUCACCGCGGCGCCGCGCUGCGUCCCGCAGGAGCCCAGCCUGAAGGGGGACAAGGGCGAGCCGGCCGUCGUGGAGCCGGUGAGUGGGGUACGGCCGCUCGGGGACGCGUGGCGCCCUGCUGCAAGCCACCCGUGGCUGGUGGCUCGCAGGACAGGGCGCAGGGACGCGCCGCGCUCACUCCCUUCUCUUUUAGGAUCGGCGAUUUGAGGGGCCGCCGGGACCCCCGGGCCCUGCGGUAA